RNAcentral lists this ribosomal RNA (421 nucleotides) under Moraxella sp. 19B(2010). RNAcentral describes it as "bacterial SSU rRNA". It matches the Rfam family "Bacterial small subunit ribosomal RNA", at positions 272 to 684 of the family's 1533-position model. The record is from RNAcentral. Lineage: Bacteria; Pseudomonadati; Pseudomonadota; Gammaproteobacteria; Moraxellales; Moraxellaceae.
GGCGACGAUCUGUAACUGGUCUGAGAGGAUGAUCAGUCACACCGGAACUGAGACACGGUCCGGACUCCUACGGGAGGCAGCAGUGGGGAAUAUUGGACAAUGGGGGCAACCCUGAUCCAGCCAUGCCGCGUGUGUGAAGAAGGCCUUUUGGUUGUAAAGCACUUUAAGCAGGGAGGAGAGGCUAAUGGUUAAUACCCAUUAGAUUAGACGUUACCUGCAGAAUAAGCACCGGCUAACUCUGUGCCAGCAGCCGCGGUAAUACAGAGGGUGCGAGCGUUAAUCGGAAUUACUGGGCGUAAAGCGAGUGUAGGUGGCUCAUUAAGUCACAUGUGAAAUCCCCGGGCUUAACCUGGGAACUGCAUGUGAUACUGGUGGUGCUAGAAUAUGUGAGAGGGAAGUAGAAUUCCAGGUGUAGCGGUGA